UUUACGACUCUCGGCAACGGAUAUCUUGGCUCUAGCAUCGAUGAAGAACGUAGCGAAAUGUGAUACUUGGUGUGAAUUGCAGAAUCCCGUGAACCAUCGAGUUUUUGAACGCAAGUUGCGCCCGAGGCUAUCCGGCCGAGGGCACGCCUGCCUG
This 154-nucleotide ribosomal RNA is filed under the name Lachenalia reflexa. Its description in RNAcentral is "5.8S rRNA". It matches the Rfam family "5.8S ribosomal RNA". Rfam says of the family: 5.8S ribosomal RNA (5.8S rRNA) is a component of the large subunit of the eukaryotic ribosome. It is transcribed by RNA polymerase I as part of the 45S precursor that also contains 18S and 28S rRNA. The record is from RNAcentral. Lineage: Eukaryota; Viridiplantae; Streptophyta; Magnoliopsida; Asparagales; Asparagaceae.